AAACUGUUUCAAAACAAUGUCUA
RNAcentral lists this small nuclear RNA (23 nucleotides) under Arabidopsis thaliana (thale cress). RNAcentral's name for it is "snRNA_14925". The record is from RNAcentral. Lineage: Eukaryota; Viridiplantae; Streptophyta; Magnoliopsida; Brassicales; Brassicaceae.